GACGAACGCUGGCGGCGUGCUUAACACAUGCAAGUCGAACGGAAAGGCCCUGCUUUUGUGGGGUGCUCGAGUGGCGAACGGGUGAGUAACACGUGAGUAACCUGCCCUUGACUUUGGGAUAACUUCAGGAAACUGGGGCUAAUACCGGAUAGGAGCUCCUGCUGCAUGGUGGGGGUUGGAAAGUUUCGGCGGUUGGGGAUGGACUCGCGGCUUAUCAGCUUGUUGGUGGGGUAGUGGCUUACCAAGGCUUUGACGGGUAGCCGGCCCGAGAGGGUGACCGGCCACAUUGGGACUGAGAUACGGCCCAGACUCCUACGGGAGGCAGCAGUGGGGAACAUUGCACAAUGGGCGGAAGCCUGAUGCAGCAACGCCGCGUGCGGGAUGACGGCCUUCGGGUUGUAAACCGCUUUCGCCUGUGACGAAGCGUGAGUGACGGUAAUGGGUAAAGAAGCACCGGCUAACUACGUG
This 468-nucleotide ribosomal RNA is filed under the name uncultured bacterium. RNAcentral describes it as "partial 16S ribosomal RNA". It matches the Rfam family "Bacterial small subunit ribosomal RNA", at positions 28 to 507 of the family's 1533-position model. The record is from RNAcentral.